GCCAGUAGCAUCAGCACUCGACCCUUUGUGACAUACCUGCAACUGUUGCUUCGGCGGGUAGGCCGUCCCCUGAAAAGGACGCCUCCCGGCCCGGACCGGACCCCCCGCGGGACCGGACCCGGCGCCCGCCGGAGGAUAACCAAACUCUAUUGUAACGACGUUUCUUCUGAGUGGCAUAAGCAAAAUAAUCAAAACUUUUAACAACGGAUCUCUUGGUUCUGGCAUCGAUGAAGAACGCAGCGAAAUGCGAUAAGUAAUGUGAAUUGCAGAAUUCAGUGAAUCAUCGAAUCUUUGAACGCACAUUGCGCCCGCCAGCAUUCUGGCGGGCAUGCCUGUUCGAGCGUCAUUUCAACCCUCAAGCUCUGCUUGGUGUUGGGGCUCUACGGUCGACGUAGGCCCUCAAAGGUAGUGGCGGACCCUCCCGGAGCCUCCUUUGCGUAGUAACAUUUCGUCUCGCACUGGGAUCCGGAGGGACUCUUGCCGUAAAACCCCCCAAUUUUCCAAAGGUUGACCUCGGAUCAGGUAGGAAUACCCGCUGAACUUAAGCAUAUCAAUAAGCGGAGGA
RNAcentral lists this ribosomal RNA (565 nucleotides) under Colletotrichum karsti. Its description in RNAcentral is "eukaryotic LSU rRNA". The stretch from base 193 to 346 matches the Rfam family "5.8S ribosomal RNA". Lineage: Eukaryota; Fungi; Ascomycota; Sordariomycetes; Glomerellales; Glomerellaceae. The record is from RNAcentral.